RNAcentral lists this ribosomal RNA (448 nucleotides) under uncultured bacterium. RNAcentral's name for it is "bacterial SSU rRNA". It matches the Rfam family "Bacterial small subunit ribosomal RNA", at positions 329 to 793 of the family's 1533-position model. The record is from RNAcentral.
UCCCAGACUCCUACGGGAGGCAGCAGUGGGGAAUAUUGCACAAUGGGGGAAACCCUGAUGCAGCGACGCCGCGUGAGUGAAGAAGUAUUUCGGUAUGUAAAGCUCUAUCAGCAGGGAAGAAAAUGACGGUACCUGAUUAAGAAGCCCCGGCUAACUACGUGCCAGCAGCCGCGGUAAUACGUAGGGGGCAAGCGUUAUCCGGAUUUACUGGGUGUAAAGGGAGCGUAGACGGCAGCGCAAGUCUGAAGUGAAAUACCCGGGCUCAACCUGGGAACUGCUUUGGAAACUGUAUGGCUAGAGUGCUGGAGAGGUAAGCGGAAUUCCUAGUGUAGCGGUGAAAUGCGUAGAUAUUAGGAGGAACACCAGUGGUGAAGGCGGCUUACUGGACUGUAACUGACGUUGAGGCUCGAAAGCGUGGGGAGCAAACAGGAUUAGAUACCCCCGUAAG